Long non-coding RNA from Dama dama (fallow deer), 686 nucleotides. RefSeq lists it as uncharacterized. The transcript is spliced from 2 exons. Lineage: Eukaryota; Metazoa; Chordata; Mammalia; Artiodactyla; Cervidae. The record is from RefSeq and is a predicted model, not a curated record.
GGCAGCCCACUCCAGUAUUCUUGCCUGGAAAAUUCCAUGGACAGAGGAGCCUGAUGGGGCUACAGUCCAUGUGGUCGCAAAGAGUCAGAUGCGACUGAGAACACACACAUUGUUUGCAAGAUACAGUAGUAUUGGUGCUUUAGAACUAUGGUGCUGGAGAAAACUCCUGAGAGUCCCUUGGACAGCAGGGAGAUCAAACGAGUCAAUCCUAAAGGAAAUCAACCCUGAAUAUUCAUUGCAAGGACUGAUGCUGAAGCUGAAGCUAAAGCUCUAAUACUUUGGCCACCUGAUUUGAAGAGCCAGCUCAUUAGAAAAGACCUUGAUGCUGGAAAGGAUUCAGAGCAAGAGAAGGAGGGGGCGACAGAUCAACUGGAAAAGGAAGCCUUCCCAAAUGAAGUGAGAAGUGGGCUGUAGGACCUCAUAGCACAACCCAUGAUACCUCAAGAGAAGGUACUGCUGCCAGCAUUCCAGUAAGUGGCUCUGUUGGUCUGGGAAACUCUCUCAGCUGUUGUUGUGGCUUCACUUCUCAGCUGCUGUGCCUGAAAAACGUGAAAAAGUGACAGAGCACCAGCCUGGAGUGAAUGUGAGCUCGUUUAUUUCCUUGUAGUCUUUUACAGGGAUCUAGGACUAUAUAUCAUCAUUUCUGGACAAGCUGUGUGUGGGUUUUUUUUUUUUUUUUAAAUCCA